CCCUUAGAUGUUCUGGGCCGCACGCGCGCUACACUGUUCGACGCAGCGAGUCUUAACCUUGACCGAAAGGUUUGGGUAAUCUUCAGCAAAGUCGAACGUGAUGGGGAUCGAUCAUUGCAAUUAUUGAUCGUGAACGAGGAAUUCCUAGUAAGUGCAAGUCAUCAGCUUGCGCUGAUUACGUCCCUGCCCUUUGUACACACCGCCCGUCGCUACUACCGAUUGAAUGGUUUAGUGAGAUCUCUGGAUUGACGCUGGCUAGGGGGCGACCCUUGGCCAGGCUGUCGAGAAACUGCUCAAACUUGAUCAUUUAGAGGAAGGAAAAGUCGUAACA
Molecule: ribosomal RNA, 331 nt
Filed under: uncultured eukaryote
Lineage: Eukaryota
Description: partial 18S ribosomal RNA
Rfam family: Eukaryotic small subunit ribosomal RNA
Source: RNAcentral